This 462-nucleotide ribosomal RNA is filed under the name uncultured bacterium. RNAcentral describes it as "partial 16S ribosomal RNA". It matches the Rfam family "Bacterial small subunit ribosomal RNA", at positions 338 to 795 of the family's 1533-position model. The record is from RNAcentral.
CCUACGGGUGGCAGCAGUGAGGAAUAUUGGUCAAUGGGCGCAAGCCUGAACCAGCCAAGUCGCGUGAGGGAUGACGGUCCUAUGGAUUGUAAACCUCUUUUGUCGGGGAGCAAGGCCCGCCACGUGUGGCGGGAAGGAGAGUACCCGAAGAAAAAGCAUCGGCUAACUACGUGCCAGCAGCCGCGGUAAUACGUAGGGGGCAAGUGUUAUUCGGAUUUACUGGGUGUAAAGGGAGCGUAGGUGGCAUGGUAAGCCAGAAGUGAAAACCCAGGGCUCAACUCUGUGGAUUGCUUUUGGAACUAUCAAGCUAGAGUGCUGGAGGGGUAAGCGGAAUUCCUAGUGUAGCGGUGAAAUGCGUAGAUAUUAGGAGGAACACCGGUGGCGAAGGCGGCUUACUGGACAGAAACUGACACUGAGGCUCGAAAGCGUGGGGAGCAAACAGGAUUAGAUACCCGAGUAGUC